UUGUCCCUGGAAAGAGCCUGGCAUGUGAGUUAGAAACUCUGCUCAUAAACCAGCUUCCUAGUCAAGGCUUUCACCUAGCCAAUGUGGCUGAUGGCAAGCAUAGGAAUUUUGGCACUUCCAACCUUCACACAGAAUGUGUUAUUGCUACUUCUUAAUAUAUGUUUACAAUCCCCAUUCAAUAGUUUUGUAAUAUGGAAAUGACAGUUAGAAAUAUUUUACAAUGCCAACCUUGUGAAAUUUAUAUUAUGUGAAUGAAACUCAGCAAGCAGUGGCUGCAGCGUUUUUGGUAGAUGUAAUUGCUGUAGCUGCAUUUAGUUGAACCCUGCUAGCAUGUGUAAUAUAUUUUUAUAAACCUUACUGUUUAGUGCAAAUUGUCUCUAUGCUAAUCUGGCAACAUGAAUUGGUCAAAUUGAUGUGUAUGUUUAUGAAACAAGAACUUGUAAACCAACAAAAAGAACAAGAUGACAUGUUCAAAUUUGAUGGGUUGAGUUAUUUUUUAGUUUAUAAUCACGUAGAUUAUAAUUUUAUAGUUUAUAAAGAUAAUCUAAAAAUAACCAUAUCAAAUACAUGUGUACUUUUGUUUUUCCUAUUUGCUCUUGUUAAACGGACUUCCUUUAAGUUACUUUCAUAAUUUCUAUCAAGCAUUUGCUUGUUUCAAAAUUAAUAAGGAUAAAAUUGUAAACGGAACGGUGUUUUAGAAAAGCAUUGGAUAAAUAAAUAUAACUACUAUCUUUGCUUGAUUUCGUUAGAAGUGCCUUCUAAUAAGGGUUAGUGGGAGUAAUAUUUUACCAGUUGAGUUAGAAAUACAAAAAAAUGGGUCACCCCAUAGGCCUAACACAAAUUUUGUGUUUAAGAUUGAGCUUUUAGAAGUAGUGUAGGCUCAAUAGAACUAUUAAAUUGAGUAAAUUAUCAUAACUAAUAAAUAAUUAAAUCGAAAGCUUUCUUUGAGGUAUUUAAAUGGUUCUAGACUUGAUUCCAAAUAUGAUAGAUCAUGGUAAGGGGGUGAUGGCAAUGUAAGCCUACCCAUGCGUGUGACUAGUUUGUUUUGAAUAAGAGGAUAAUCCAAAGUUGACUUGUUGACCAAGAAUAUUGUUCAUGAUCCUACAUGGCUAUAUUGCUAUAUCCUCCUUGAGUCAAAAAGUUGGCUUAAAUGGAGAAAAAGGUUCUGAAAAGGGAUAUUAGUCAAAGUAAAGUGAGAGUACUUUCAGUGCCAACUUAUUAGAAAAUUGGAAGACAAUGUUAAUCCUUUUAAUAAAUUAUUACCAUACUUUAAGUGAUAUCAUUAUUGUCCAAAUAAAACAAGCAUUAGCUGCAUUGGUCGGUAGUGCAAACCGGCCAACAUAUUGAAGAUCAUAUCAACAAAGACCAUUAAUUUGGUUAAUACUUAUCAUGUUGUAUGUCUUAAAGUUUUUGAAAUAGAUGUGUACGUGUGCCUAAAAAUUAUGUCAUUAAAAAUGAUGACCAAGUUUUACUCUCAGCCAUACCCACUUUAAGAAAUGUAUUUCAUGAAUUUGUAUGGAAACUUAUCUUUUGGACUUUAUUAAUAAUAGUGAUCUAGUAUGUGAUUCGAAGAGUACAUUGAAAAUAAUAAACCUAGGUACGUUAUGCAUUAUGGACACGACAAAUAAAGAAAGUCAUGGAGGAGAACUCUAGACUUAAGAAGCUAUAAUAAAGAAGACAAUAUUGUAUUCACAGUGUCUCAUUCUUUGUAUCAUUCAAUGUACUAUUAACCGUGAUUAGCUGAAAAAAUUAUUUAAAUUAAAAUUAUAAUUAUUAAAUAAUUUUUUGCCCAAUCAUACAUUCUAACACAUUAAGUGAUACAAAAUAAUAGAACAACAUGUGUUCCCUUCUAACACAUACCCUUAUUAUUUUGAGGUGAAGGAAGCUUAAUGAUGAGGAUGGAGAUGAAGAUAAUGGUUGAGUGUCUUUUGUAUUUAAUUUGGACGCAUGGAUGAUGAAGAUAGAGAUGAGAGGGGAGGAAGGGAAAGAAGAAUUACAUAUGAGAGAAGAUGAUUAUGGCGAUAAAUCUGGAAUUCUACAACCAUAAUGGAAUCUCUAGUGAGAAUAUGAUAUAUAGUAAUGAAAAUUUAACAUUGGCUAUAAGGGAAGAAUAAAACUGAAACACAUCACAAAGAAAGAAAAUUAAGUUUACCCUUUACUUUAAUGAUGCCACUUUAACAAAAAUGAGUAUCCUUUGAAAAUCAACCAAGCUCAAAACAAUCUUUGUAUGGUAUUUUCUCAACUUAUAGGUAAAGAACUAUUCAUUUUUGGAGUAUGUAGUUGUCCCUUCCAAUAAAUAUCGCUUCGAAAAAUGGAACCUGUCAUCUUUUGAUCAUCAUAUGAAUCUAGUAAAAUCUUAUACCACUAAAUCAACACAUUGUUGAUAGUAAUCUUACUAUUUAAACUAAAAUUAAAUAGUCUAUUGAGACGAAACCAUCCUAGCUAAAAAAUCUUCACACCUAUUACCUUCUCUGAGCACGUAAACAAUUUGAACCUGCUAAUCCCUACUAGGAAGAGAUUGAUAAUAUAAGAAUUUGGUGAAGAAUGAAUUAAUUAUGUAAAAAACUAAGUAUUAAACUUAUUUGAUUUGAUAUUCAAUUCAUAAUGGAGAAAAUAAUCCAAUAUAAGAAUUUUUACACUAUUACCACAUUAUUCAUCAUUAAUAUAUUCAUUCUUUGUCUAUUUUACAUUUAUUAUAUAUAUAUAUUGUAUAUAUAAAUGAGAUGUUUAUUUAUGAGUUAAGUGAGAAAUGGUAAUAAAUCAGUUUAAUAUCAUAUUUUGUAGUUUUUCUUAUUUGAUCAGAAAUUAUAUUAUUUUAAAUGUCAAAAUAUGUUGGCUAGUUUCAAAUAGUAUACUGAUAACUUUCCUUUUAUGUCAUGUUUUGUUAUAUAAAGGUGUGUUUUUCGGCAAUUGUUUUUUUGUAGACUUAUUUAUUGGGAGGUUUUGAUAAGUGCUUUAGUGACAUUGUUUAAGGAAGAGAACAUAAGGAAAUUAGUCUUAGAAAACUAAGAGUAAUAACAAAAUUUCAUAUAUUUAUAUAUAUAAGACACUUUGAGAUUCUCUCCUGUAUUGAAUAGUCCACUACUGAAAUAUGGGGUAUAGUUUGAUUUGAUGAUUUAAAAAAAAAAUUUAAAAAAAUUUAAAAUCUACACCAUAAUUUUUUUUAAUGCCACAUAUCAUCAUUUUCUCUAGUAUUAGACCCUCUGGUGUUAAAGAAGAUCGAAUUUCCUUUAUAAUAUGAGAAUAAUGUAUCUCCUCAUAUCUGGAGAUAACUUAUUUCCUAUAACCAGUAAAAAUGUGACAUGUGUGCUAUUUUAUUUGUAACUUGAUAUUAACCCCCAUUAUUUGGCCCCUUCAACGUAUACUAACAACAUGAUUUACAAUGAUCUAUGUAAUUGUCAAAAGGUUGUCCAAAGUGUUUAUUCUUCAAAAUAAUGAAAAAUUCUAUGUAACUCAUCAGAAAUGUUAUGCUAAUGUUGAAUAUUAUUCAUUUGAAAUGUGCACUAUAUUGAUUUCAGUGUCCCUUAUAUGAAACUGUGUCAUUUAAAUUGACUAAUUUCCCUCUCUGACUGCCAUGAACAUUUGAUACAGACGGAUGAUCUUGAAGGCCGAGUUCGUUCCCAUCGCUUAAAGGAAGGACUGCAGAAUGCAUCAUUCCUUUAUUUCCUUGUCCCUGGAAAGAGCCUGGCAUGUGAGUUAGAAACUCUGCUCAUAAACCAGCUUCCUAGUCAAGGCUUUCACCUAGCCAAUGUGGCUGAUGGCAAGCAUAGGAAUUUUGGCACUUCCAACCUUCACACAGAAUGUGUUAUUGCUACUUCUUAAUAUAUGUUUACAAUCCCCAUUCAAUAGUUUUGUAAUAUGGAAAUGACAGUUAGAAAUAUUUUACAAUGCCAACCUUGUGAAAUUUAUAUUAUGUGAAUGAAACUCAGCAAGCAGUGGCUGCAGCGUUUUUGGUAGAUGUAAUUGCUGUAGCUGCAUUUAGUUGAACCCUGCUAGCAUGUGUAAUAUAUUUUUAUAAACCUUACUGUUUAGUGCAAAUUGUCUCUAUGCUAAUCUGGCAACAUGAAUUGGUCAAAUUGAUGUGUAUGUUUAUGAAACAAGAACUUGUAAACCAACAAAAAGAACAAGAU
This 4130-nucleotide long non-coding RNA is filed under the name Lupinus angustifolius (narrow-leaved blue lupine). Its description in RNAcentral is "long non-coding RNA (LANG_LNC002912)". The record is from RNAcentral. Lineage: Eukaryota; Viridiplantae; Streptophyta; Magnoliopsida; Fabales; Fabaceae.